UACGGAGGAUCCAAGCGUUGUCCGGAUUUAUUGGGUUUAAAGGGUGCGCAGGCGGACUUUUAAGUCAGUGGUGAAAGCCGACAGCUCAACUGUCGAACUGCCAUUGAAACUGAAAGUCUUGAAUGCGGUCGAGGUAAAUGGAAUGUGUCAUGUAGCGGUGAAAUGCUUAGAUAUGAUACAGAACACCUAUUGCGAAGGCA
Molecule: ribosomal RNA, 200 nt
Filed under: uncultured bacterium
Lineage: Bacteria
Description: partial 16S ribosomal RNA
Rfam family: Bacterial small subunit ribosomal RNA
Source: RNAcentral